Grammomys surdaster is the source of this 374-nucleotide long non-coding RNA. RefSeq lists it as uncharacterized. NCBI's taxonomy places the organism in Eukaryota, Metazoa, Chordata, Mammalia, Rodentia, Muridae. The transcript has 4 exons. The record is from RefSeq and is a predicted model, not a curated record.
UGUUUGUACAGAGCUUGCCACAGAGCUGAGGGUAAACACGACUCGAUUUCCACUGGUAAAAAUUUAACACAAGGGCACUAAAAUUACUGAUCUACCUGUUUAUCCGCAUUUAUCUAUCUGUCUGCUGUUUACCUAUCCAUCCGUCGUCUGUCUACUCUGAAUCUCACAGACAGACCUCUGUAACUGCUCAUUAUCACCAAAUGUCCUUUCAAGUGUCAAAUUGCUAAAGAAAAAUCUAAUUUGGCUCUCCAGAUGACGUGUAAGACUUAUUGAUUCAUUCUGAUUGGCCUAAGUGAGGCAUAAAGAGAAGGCAAGUAAUGCAUUUCUGCCAGCUCAGACCCAGCACCAUCAACAUUUGGACCACUCCCCAUCCC